CAAUAGCGUAUAUUAAAGUUGUUGCAGUUAAAAAGCUCGUAGUUGGAUUUCUGGUUGAAGCGACCGGUCGGGCGUUGAUUCGUCUGCACUGGAGUCGGUUUUGGCCAUCCUCUAGGAAAGUGCGUCUGGUAUUAAGUUAUCGGGCGUAUGAUCCUGGUCUUUUACUGUGAAAAAAUUAGAGUGUUUAAAGCAGGCCUUCGCCUUGAAUACAUUAGCAUGGAAUAAUAAGAUAGGACUUUGGUCUAUUUUGUUGGUUUGCAGACCGAAGUAAUGAUUAAUAGGGAUAGUUGGGGGUAUUUAUAUUCCGAUGUCAGAGGUGAGAUUCUUAGAUUUUCGGAAGAUAAACUUAUGCGAAAGCAUUUACCAAGGAUGUUUNCAUUA
This 381-nucleotide ribosomal RNA is filed under the name uncultured eukaryote. RNAcentral's name for it is "partial 18S ribosomal RNA". It matches the Rfam family "Eukaryotic small subunit ribosomal RNA", at positions 592 to 975 of the family's 1831-position model. The record is from RNAcentral.